RNAcentral lists this transfer RNA (86 nucleotides) under Planctomycetes bacterium ADurb.Bin069. Its description in RNAcentral is "tRNA-Ser". It matches the Rfam family "tRNA". From Rfam's summary of the family: Transfer RNA (tRNA) molecules are approximately 80 nucleotides in length. The record is from RNAcentral. Lineage: Bacteria; Pseudomonadati; Planctomycetota. RNAcentral also lists the same sequence under 1 other name.
GGAGGGAUGGCAGAGUGGUCUAUUGCGGCGGUCUUGAAAACCGUUGGCCGUGAGGCCCGCAGGUUCGAAUCCUGCUCCCUCCGCCA